CCAGGCUUCCAGCUUCCAACUUCCUGGGAGUCCAUGCCCCCUUCCUUUUCUAGCACUACCUCUGGCAGUGCUUCUUCUACAGUCCUAGAGGUUUCCUCCAGCAUGGAAUCAAUGAAGACCUCAUGGU
Molecule: long non-coding RNA, 127 nt
Organism: Gavialis gangeticus (Gharial)
Lineage: Eukaryota; Metazoa; Chordata; Crocodylia; Gavialidae
Exons: 3
Source: RefSeq, a predicted model, not a curated record